AUUGAACGCUGGCGGCAGGCCUAACACAUGCAAGUCGAACGGUAACAGGAAGAAGCUUGCUUCUUUGCUGACGAGUGGCGGACGGGUGAGUAAUGUCUGUGAAACUGCCUGAUGGAGGGGGAUAACUACUGGAAACGGUAGCUAAUACCGCAUAACGUCGCAAGACCAAAGAGGGGGACCUUCGGGCCUCUUGCCAUCGGAUGUGCCCAGAUGGGAUUAGCUAGUAGGUGGGGUAACGGCUCACCUAGUCGACGAUCCCUAGCUGGUCUGAGAGGAUGACCAGCCACACUGGAACUGAGACACGGUCCAGACUCCUACGGGAGGCAGCAGUGGGGAAUAUUGCACAAUGGGCGCAAGCCUGAUGCAGCCAUGCCGCGUGUAUGAAGAAGGCCUUCGGGUUGUAAAGUACUUUCAGCGGGGAGGAAGGGAGUAAAGUUAAUACCUUUGCUCAUUGACGUUACCCGCAGAAGAAGCACCGGCUAACUCCGUG
RNAcentral lists this ribosomal RNA (490 nucleotides) under uncultured bacterium. RNAcentral describes it as "partial 16S ribosomal RNA". It matches the Rfam family "Bacterial small subunit ribosomal RNA", at positions 30 to 507 of the family's 1533-position model. The record is from RNAcentral.